GACGAACGCUGGCGGCGUGCUUAACACAUGCAAGUCGAGCGGUAAGGCCCUUUCGGGGGUACACGAGCGGCGAACGGGUGAGUAACACGUGGGUGACCUGCCCUCAGCUCUGGGAUAAGCCUGGGAAACCGGGUCUAAUACUGGAUAUGACUCCAUGACGCAUGUUGUGGGGUGGAAAGCCUUGUGCGGCUGAGGAUGGGCCCGCGGCCUA
This 211-nucleotide ribosomal RNA is filed under the name uncultured bacterium. RNAcentral's name for it is "partial 16S ribosomal RNA". It matches the Rfam family "Bacterial small subunit ribosomal RNA", at positions 28 to 240 of the family's 1533-position model. The record is from RNAcentral.